GUCCUACUGCUGCCAUCGAACAGGUGGAACAGGUGGGGACAUAGUACACGCUGGAGGAGAUUAGGCUACCCACCUUCCCCAUGGCAUACAUCUUGCACGCCACCAACGAGGUCCCCGAUAGCACAGACCAUCAAACCAUGGGAUCCUUCACCCUCCAGCAAGGGCAUUAGCAGCGGCGUCCACGACCACGAAUCAAAGCUUUUCAGUUUUCACCACAGUCCAGCUCCUGCUCUAUCUGCAGGCCACAAGAACCAACAGGAUUAUGAAUUCCCAACAGUAUUGCAGCCAGUGCUUCCAAUAAG
Molecule: unclassified non-coding RNA, 302 nt
Filed under: Zea mays
Lineage: Eukaryota; Viridiplantae; Streptophyta; Magnoliopsida; Poales; Poaceae
Description: misc RNA Zm00001eb225780
Source: RNAcentral